UCACGUUGCCGAUAUUCAUUGCACGGCUUUCCCCUCGCUAUAAUGCGAUCCCAACUUUGGGAAUGAAGUUUGGUAUGAAAUAUCCAGAUGUAAUACCAAGAAUGCUCGCUUGGGAAAUGCCGAAGAGGUUAACGUCUGCUGCCAUUGAGAACGUGUUGAAUUCGAAGGAGUUGGAGGUUAAUUCCACAUUGAUUCCCACCGAAGCUGAACUCGAAGAG
Long non-coding RNA from Olea europaea var. sylvestris, 218 nucleotides. RefSeq lists it as uncharacterized. The record is from RefSeq and is a predicted model, not a curated record. NCBI's taxonomy places the organism in Eukaryota, Viridiplantae, Streptophyta, Magnoliopsida, Lamiales, Oleaceae. The transcript is spliced from 3 exons.